Molecule: ribosomal RNA, 2039 nt
Filed under: human oral metagenome
Description: bacterial LSU rRNA
Rfam family: Bacterial large subunit ribosomal RNA
Source: RNAcentral
AAUCGAACGUGGAGAUAGCUGGUUCUCCCCGAAAUAGCUUUAGGGCUAGCCUCAGGCGAAUAACCAUAGAGACGGUAGAGCACUGAUCGGGCAAGGGGGCGUAAAGCCUACCGACCCCAGUCAAACUACGAAUGGCUCAUAUGGGCAGCCUGGGAGUCAGAAUGCGAGUGAUAAGACCCGUAUUCAAGAGGGAAACAGCCCAGACCGCCGGCUAAGGUCCCAAAUGCUGUGCUAAGUGGAGAAGGAUGUAGGACUUCGAAAACAACCAGGAUGUUGGCUCAGAAGCAGCCACCAUUAAAAGAGUGCGUAAUAGCUCACUGGUCGAGAGGCCCUGCGCCGAAAAUAUCCGGGGCUCAAGCACAGAACCGAAGCCGCGGCAGGGUGUACUACGGUACACACUGGGUAGGGGAGCGUUCUUAUCUGGACGAAGGCAGACCGGAAGGACUGCUGGACGGGUAAGAAGUGAGAAUGCCGGUAUGAGUAGCGAAACGACAGGUGAGAAUCCUGUCCACCGAAAGCCUAAGGAAUCCCGGGCAACGCUCGUCGUCCCGGGGUAAGUCGGGACCUAAGCCGAGGCGAAAAGCAUAGGCGAUGGACAACUGGCGAAAAUUCCAGUACCGGGCGACUUCGUUUGAGGAUGGAGUGACGCAGGAAGGAAGCUGAGCGCGCGACUGGUAGAGCGCGUCGAAGGCGGUAGGCUGGUAUGGAGGCAAAUCCCCAUACCGUAAAGGCCGAGAACCGAUAGAUAGGAAGGGCUACGGCCCGACUGAAUUCAGCCGCACUAAACUGCCAAGAAAAGCUUCUAACGAGAAGUCGUCCGCCCGUACCAAAACCGACACAGGUAGGCGGGGAGAGAAUCCUAAGGUGCGCGGGAAAACCCUCGUUAAGGAACUCGGCAAAAUGCAUCCGUAACUUCGGGAAAAGGAUGGCCGUUGAUGGUGAAGGUGUUUACCACCGGAGCUGUUGACGGCGGCAGAAAAGAGGCCCAAGCGACUGUUUACCACAAACACAGGUGCCUGCGAAAGCGCAAGCUGAAGUAUAGGUGCUGACGCCUGCCCGGUGCAGGAAGGUUAAGGAGAGUUGUUAGUCCUAGAGAUGAAGCAGCGAACUGAAGCCCCUGUAAACGGCGGCCGUAACUAUAACGGUCCUAAGGUAGCGAAAUUCCUUGUCGGGUAAGUUCCGACCCGCACGAAAGGCGUAACGAUUUGGGCACUGUCUCAACGAGGGACCCGGUGAAAUUGAAAUACCUGUGAAGAUGCAGGUUACCCGCGACUGGACAGAAAGACCCCAUGGAGCUUUACUGCAGCUUGGCAUUGGUCUUUGGCAUAUAACGUACAGGAUAGCCGGGAGACUGGGAAACCUUAUCGCUAGAUGAGGCGGAGUCACCGUUGGGAUACCGGCCUUUAUAUGCUAAGGAUCUAACCGGAACGUUAACAGCGUUCGGGACAGUACCAGGCGGGCAGUUUGACUGGGGCGGUCGCCUCCGAAAGAGCAACGGAGGCGUCCAAAGGUUCCCUCAGCGCGGACAGAAAUCGCGCGAAGAGCAUAAAGGCAGAAGGGAGCUUGACUGCGAGACUGACGGGUCGAGCAGGUACGAAAGUAGGGCUUAGUGAUCCGGUGGAAAGAGAGUGGAAUUGCCAUCGCUCAACGGAUAAAAGCUACCCUGGGGAUAACAGGCUAAUCUCUCCCAAGAGUCCAUAUCGACGGGGAGGUUUGGCACCUCGAUGUCGGCUCAUCACAUCCUGGGGCUGAAGCAGGUCCCAAGGGUUGGGCUGUUCGCCCAUUAAAGUGGUACGUGAGCUGGGUUCAGAACGUCGUGAGACAGUUCGGUCCAUAUCCAUCGCGGGCGUAAGAUACAUGAGGGAGGCUGCUCCUAGUACGAGAGGACCGGAGUGGACGGACCAACGGUGUACCGGUUGUCCUGCCAAGGGCACGGCCGGGUAGCUGCGUCCGGAAGGGAUAAACGCUGAAAGCAUCUAAGCGUGAAGCCCGUCCCGAGAUGAAGUAUCUCAUUCCUAUAAGGAAGUAAGACCCCUUGA